RNAcentral lists this ribosomal RNA (465 nucleotides) under Vreelandella stevensii. RNAcentral's name for it is "partial 16S ribosomal RNA". It matches the Rfam family "Bacterial small subunit ribosomal RNA", at positions 338 to 795 of the family's 1533-position model. The record is from RNAcentral. Lineage: Bacteria; Pseudomonadati; Pseudomonadota; Gammaproteobacteria; Oceanospirillales; Halomonadaceae.
CCUACGGGGGGCAGCAGUGGGGAAUAUUGGACAAUGGGGGGAACCCUGAUCCAGCCAUGCCGCGUGUGUGAAGAAGGCCCUCGGGUUGUAAAGCACUUUCAGUGAGGAAGAACGCCUGGUGGUUAAUACCCAUCAGGAAAGACAUCACUCACAGAAGAAGCACCGGCUAACUCCGUGCCAGCAGCCGCGGUAAUACGGAGGGUGCGAGCGUUGAUCGGAAUUACUGGGCGUAAAGCGCGCGUAGGUGGCUUGAUAAGCCGGUUGUGGAAGCCCCGGGCUCAACCUGGGAACGGCAUCCGGAACUGUCAAGCUAGAGUGCAGGAGAGGAAGGUAGAAUUCCCGGUGUAGCGGUGAAAUGCGUAGAGAUCGGGAGGAAUACCAGUGGCGAAGGCGGCCUUCUGGACUGACACUGACGCUGAGGUGCGAAAGCGUGGGUAGCAAACAGGAUUAGAUACCCUUGUAGUC